CGAUAUCAAUAAAAUUGUUGACGAUACGUCUAAAAUAAUCAGUAUUUUACUGGCAAGUUAUCGUACAGCAAGUGAACAAACAACAUGAUUAAGAUUACAAUUUUCGUUGUGCUUUUGGUAGUGAACAUUUCGAUGAUAAACGCUGACUGGAAAGCGGACGCUCAACAAGCCUGUGAAGGGAUAAAUGGAUCAUUGCUACCAGGCAUUCCAACAAAAUUGAAACCAUGCAAGGUACUAUGCUCUGUACCAGGUAGUAACAACUCUUUCCAAAAUCUCGUAAAUAACUCUAAGUGCACAAUAAAAAAAUCGGACGGCGUGGAAGGUGUGUGUAAAAAUGGAAAAUGUGUUGCUGUUUAGAUACUUAGGAACGACAACAAUUUCUAAUAUGUAAAAAAUUGAGAUCGACAAAGAAAUUACUUUUGCUAACAAAAUGCUAAUCUUUUACUU
Molecule: long non-coding RNA, 447 nt
Organism: Bradysia coprophila
Lineage: Eukaryota; Metazoa; Arthropoda; Insecta; Diptera; Sciaridae
Source: RefSeq, a predicted model, not a curated record